GAUGAACGCUGGCGGCGUGCCUAAUACAUGCAAGUCGGGCGAACGGACGAGAAGCUUGCUUCUCUGAUGUUAGCGGCGGACGGGUGAGUAACACGUGUAUAACCUACCUAUAAGACUGGGAUAACUUCGGGAAACCGGAGCUAAUACCGGAGAAUAUUUUGAACCGCAUGGUUCAAUAGUGAAAGACGGUCUUGCUGUCACUUAUAGAUGGAUCCGCGCUGCAUUAGCUAGUUGGUAAGUUAACGGCCUACCAAGGCGACGAUGCAUAGCCGACCUGAGAGAGUGAUCGGCGACCCUGGAACGGAGCCGGGGUCCAGGGUCCUACGAGAGGCAGCAGAAGCGAAUCUUCGGCAGUGGGCGAAAGCAUGACGGAGCGACGCCGCGUCAGUGAUGAAGGUCUUCGGAUCGUAAAGCUCUCUUAUUAGGGAAGAACAUAUGUGGAAGUAGAUGUGGACAUAUUGACGGUACCUAAUAAGAAAGCCACGGCUAACUACGUG
Molecule: ribosomal RNA, 497 nt
Filed under: uncultured bacterium
Lineage: Bacteria
Description: partial 16S ribosomal RNA
Rfam family: Bacterial small subunit ribosomal RNA
Source: RNAcentral